AUUGAACGCUGGCGGCAUGCUUUACACAUGCAAGUCGGACGAGUGGCGAACGGGUGAGUAACGCAUCGGAACGUACCGAGUAAUGGGGGAUAACUGUCCGAAAGGACAGCUAAUACCGCAUAUUAUUCGAGCGGCCGAUGUCUGAUUAGCUGGUUGGCGGGGUAAAGGCCCACCAAGGCGACGAUCAGUAGCGGGUCUGAGAGGAUGAUCCGCCACGCGGGGACUGUGACACGGCCCAGACUCCUUCUGAUGGCAGCAGUGGGGAAUUUUGGACAAUGGGCGCAAGCCUGAUCAAGCCAUGCAGCGUGUCUGAAGAGGACCUUCGGGUUGUAAAGGACUUUUGUCAGGGAAGCGGUACCGGAAUAGAAAGCCACGGCUAACUACGUGCCAGCAGCCGCGGUAAUAC
This 406-nucleotide ribosomal RNA is filed under the name uncultured bacterium. Its description in RNAcentral is "partial 16S ribosomal RNA". It matches the Rfam family "Bacterial small subunit ribosomal RNA", at positions 30 to 526 of the family's 1533-position model. The record is from RNAcentral.